GGAUUAGAUACCCUGGUAGUCCACGCCCUAAACGAUGAUAACUCGAUGUUGGCGAUAGGCAGCCAGCGUCCAAGCGAAAGCGUUAAGUUAUCCACCUGGGGAGUACGCCCGCAAGGGUGAAACUCAAAGGAAUUGACGGGGGCCCGCACAAGCGGAGGAGCAUGUGGUUUAAUUCGAUGAUACGCGAGGAACCUUACCCGGGCUUGAAAGUUAGUGAAGAAUGCAGAGACGCAUUCGUCCUUCGGGACACGAAACUAGGUGCUGCAUGGCUGUCGCCAGCUCGUGCCG
Molecule: ribosomal RNA, 288 nt
Filed under: uncultured bacterium
Lineage: Bacteria
Description: partial 16S ribosomal RNA
Rfam family: Bacterial small subunit ribosomal RNA
Source: RNAcentral